CGAAAGGUUUGGCGGUGAAGGAUGGGGAUGCGUCUGAUUAGCUUGUUGGUGAGGUAACGGCUCACCAAGGCGACGAUCAGUAGGAGUUCUGAGAGGAAGGUCCCCCACAUUGGAACUGAGACACGGUCCAAACUCCUACGGGAGGCAGCAGUGAGGAAUAUUGGUCAAUGGGCGAGAGCCUGAACCAGCCAAGUAGCGUGCAGGACGACGGCCCUAUGGGUUGUAAACUGCUUUUAUAUGGGGAUAAAGUGAGUUACGUGUAGCUUAUUGCAGGUACCAUAUGAAUAAGGACCGGCUAAUUCCGUGCCAGCAGCCGCGGUAAUACGGAAGGUCCAGGCGUUAUCCGGAUUUAUUGGGUUUAAAGGGAGCGUAGGCCGCCCCUUAAGCGUGUUGUGAAAUGCCGCGGCUCAACCGUGGCACUGCAGCGCGAACUGGGGGGCUUGAGUGCACGCAACGCAGGCGGAAUUCGUGGUGUAGCGGUGAAAUGCUUAGAUAUCACGAAGAACUCCGAUUGCGAAGGCAGCUUGCGGGAGUGCGACUGACGCUGAAGCUCGAAGGUGCGGGUAUCGAACAGGAUUAGAUACCCUGGUAGUCCGCACAGUAAACGAUGGAUGCCCGCUGUGUGCCCUAGAGGUACGCGGCCAAG
RNAcentral lists this ribosomal RNA (646 nucleotides) under uncultured bacterium. RNAcentral's name for it is "bacterial SSU rRNA". It matches the Rfam family "Bacterial small subunit ribosomal RNA", at positions 201 to 851 of the family's 1533-position model. The record is from RNAcentral.